Molecule: ribosomal RNA, 253 nt
Filed under: uncultured bacterium
Lineage: Bacteria
Description: partial 16S ribosomal RNA
Rfam family: Bacterial small subunit ribosomal RNA
Source: RNAcentral
UACGUAGGGGGCAAGCGUUGUUCGGAAUUAUUGGGCGUAAAGCGCGUGUAGGCGGCUUUGCAAGUCGGGUGUGAAAGCCCUCAGCUCAACUGAGGAAGUGCGCCCGAAACUGCAGAGCUUGAGUACCGGAGAGGAUGGUGGAAUUCCCCAAGUAGAGGUGAAAUUCGUAGAUAUGGGGAGGAACACCGGUGGCGAAGGCGACCAUCUGGACGGAUACUGACGCUGAGACGCGAAAGCGUGGGUAGCAAACAGG